Long non-coding RNA from Megalobrama amblycephala (Wuchang bream), 466 nucleotides. RefSeq lists it as uncharacterized. Lineage: Eukaryota; Metazoa; Chordata; Actinopteri; Cypriniformes; Xenocyprididae. The record is from RefSeq and is a predicted model, not a curated record. The transcript is spliced from 2 exons.
GGAUAUCCAGUAUUCGCUCUCACAGACUCGAUUAUGGCAGAUCAGCUGUGCUAUCGCUUCCUGUGAGAUGCCUUUGAGACGAGAAACCAAAACCUGAGGAUCUUCGUCCGAGUUAUUGAUGUGAAUAGAGAUGGAUGACCAAACACCUGUGAAGAGAUGAAGACAGCUCCUGUGAGGACUUCAGAUGAUGCCAACUCUGAAUCAACAUGCACCUCUGCUAAAUGUUUUAUAUCAUGUCCACAACUUGUAAUAAUUACUUUAAUAAGCUCAUUGUUUCAGCCUAAAUUAAUGCAUGAUGUUAACUGCCUGCAUUGAAUUAUAUUGAACUGAUUUCUGAAAUAUGGACAUUACAGAGACAGCUCUAAUAACAGAUUGGGAUGUACAAACAUGUACAUUUCUGUAAAACUGCUUUGAAACGUUAUGUAAUGUGAAAUAUGUUAUACAAAUAAAUGUGAAUUCAAUUAAA